GGUGAAGAACGUAGCGAAAUGCGAUAAGUAAUGUGAAUUGCAGAAUUCAGUGAAUCAUCGAAUCUUUGAACGCACAUUGCGCCCGCCAGUAUUCUGGCGGGCAUGCCUGUUCGAGCGUCAUUACAACCCUCAGGCCCCCGGGCCUGGCGUCGGGGAUCGGCGGAAGCCCCCUGCGGGCACAACGCCGUCCCCCAAAUACAGUGGCGGUCCCGCCGCAGCUUCCAUUGCGUAGUAGCUAACACCUCGCAACUGGAGAGCGGCGCGGCCACGCCGUAAAACACCCAACUUCUGAAUGUUGACCUCGAAUCAGGUAGGAAUACCCGCUGAACUUAAGCAUAUCAAUAAGCGGAGGA
Molecule: unclassified non-coding RNA, 353 nt
Filed under: soil metagenome
Description: partial contains 5.8S ribosomal RNA, internal transcribed spacer 2, and large subunit ribosomal RNA
Rfam family: 5.8S ribosomal RNA (bases 3-120)
Source: RNAcentral